UCGAUCAGUUUUUUGGUCUUGUUUUUGUUUUUUUGAUGCCAUUGUCAUUCCAGGGUGUUUAGAGUACGAGGCCUUCCAUUCAUAAUGUUAUGCUCUGGUAUCCCGACACAUCAUCACCUGCCACGCGUAAUAUCGGCUCAUCCGUUUAGCCUUUUCGGCAAGUUUUUUUCUGACUACAGUAAAUUUGCAAACUGACAUUGUAAGGUGUCAAAGGAUAAUUGAUUUACUCAUUGAUGGAGGUUUUGGGUUAACUGUGUAAUGCAAGCAGCGUCCGGUCUGCUGCGUAGUGAGCAGCAUCCGUCAUGUCUGGCGAAAACAAGCAUCCCAUCCCAACGCUGCUGCUGCUGCUGCUGCUGCUGCUGAUGAUCAUCCUCAGCGUGUUGCUCCGGCUAAACGCAACUUGUGUCUCUUUGACGUGAUUAGUGAACGGUCUUUACUCGCAAAUAUGUGCUCUUAGGCUAUGUACCGUUAAAGCACGACCUUUUGAUCAAAUGAAAUAAAAAAUCUGCGUAAAUGAUGCGCUCCGUGGCCUGUAGCGGGGCCCUGGGUUACUGCAGCCUGCAGGGCGGCCUCUUCUGCCCACAGAGAGCCACAUUAGACCCAAAGCAGUCUGACCUGUUGUCUCCGGGCGUCCCAUGCCUUCAUUCAUCCCCGUGCGUCAUGUGACCGCUUUGUUUCUCCUUACCUUUGCCCUGUGGAUAUAAGAUGUGAAUGUAUAAGGAUGUUUCCCCAAACUGGGAUCCAGGGACUUCCAGGCAUCCCCCAAAUGGUCCUAGAGCAACCUGAACAAAUCAUGGAGCACUAUAAGUUCAAUAACAUGCAUUCACUUAUGAUAGAUAGAUAGAUAGAUAGAUAGAUAGAUAGAUAGAUAGAUAGAUAGAUAGAUAGAUAUGCAGCGGGGGAAAUUUGUUUUCACAGUCUGUUUCAUGCACAUGGCAAAAUACACAGACAAAUACAUCAACAGAGAACUUGAAGACAGAAGAUAGACAUAUA
Etheostoma spectabile (orangethroat darter) is the source of this 993-nucleotide long non-coding RNA. RefSeq lists it as uncharacterized. Lineage: Eukaryota; Metazoa; Chordata; Actinopteri; Perciformes; Percidae. The transcript has 3 exons. The record is from RefSeq and is a predicted model, not a curated record.